RNAcentral lists this ribosomal RNA (425 nucleotides) under uncultured bacterium. RNAcentral's name for it is "partial 16S ribosomal RNA". It matches the Rfam family "Bacterial small subunit ribosomal RNA", at positions 354 to 796 of the family's 1533-position model. The record is from RNAcentral.
GUGGGGAAUCUUGCGCAAUGGGCGAAAGCCUGACGCAGCCAUGCCGCGUGAAUGAUGAAGGUCUUAGGAUUGUAAAAUUCUUUCACCGGGGACGAUAAUGACGGUACCCGGAGAAGAAGCUCCGGCUAACUUCGUGCCAGCAGCCGCGGUAAUACGAAGGGGGCUAGCGUUGCUCGGAAUUACUGGGCGUAAAGGGCGCGUAGGCGGACAGCUUAGUCAGAGGUGAAAGCCCAGGGCUCAACCUUGGAAUUGCCUUUGAUACUGGCUGUCUUGAGUUUGGGAGAGGUGAGUGGAACUCCGAGUGUAGAGGUGAAAUUCGUAGAUAUUCGGAAGAACACCAGUGGCGAAGGCGACUCACUGGCCCAAUACUGACGCUGAGGCGCGAAAGCGUGGGGAGCGAACAGGAUUAGAAACCCGGGUAGUCC